RNAcentral lists this unclassified non-coding RNA (214 nucleotides) under soil metagenome. RNAcentral's name for it is "partial contains 5.8S ribosomal RNA, internal transcribed spacer 2, and large subunit ribosomal RNA". The record is from RNAcentral.
AACGCACGAGACCUGCGGACCUGCGGAAGGAUCAUUAUCGAGUUUACAACUCCCAAACCAUUGUGAAUCUUACCUUUUCGUUGCUUCGGCGGGAUCGCCCCGGGCGCUUCGGUGCCCCGGAUUCAGGCGCCCGCCGGGGGACCUAAACUCUUGUAUUAUAGUGGAUUUCUGAGUGGAUUACACAAAUAAUCAAAACUUUCAACAACGGAUCUCU